UACGUAGGGGGCAAGCGUUGUCCGGAUUUAUUGGGCGUAAAGAGCGUGUAGGCGGCUAGAUAGGUCCGUUGUGAAAACUCGAGGCUCAACCUCGAGACGCCGGUGGAGACCAUCUAGCUAGAGUCCGGAAGAGGAGAGUGGAAUUCCUGGUGUAGCGGUGAAAUGCGCAGAUAUCAGGAAGAACACCCGUGGCGAAGGCGGCUCUCUGGUACGUGACUGACGCUGAGACGCGAAAGCGUGGGGAGCGAACAGG
Molecule: ribosomal RNA, 253 nt
Filed under: uncultured bacterium
Lineage: Bacteria
Description: partial 16S ribosomal RNA
Rfam family: Bacterial small subunit ribosomal RNA
Source: RNAcentral